UACGUAGGGUGCAGGCGUUAAUCGGAAUUACUGGGCGUAAAGCGUGCGCAGGCGGUUUCUUAAGUCAGAUGUGAAAGCCCCGGGCUUAACCUGGGAACUGCGUUUGAAACUGGGAGACUUGAGUGUGGCAGAGGGGGGUGGAAUUCCACGUGUAGCAGUGAAAUGCGUAGAUAUGUGGAGGAACACCGAUGGCGAAGGCAGCCCCCUGGGGUAACACUGACGCUCAUGCACGAAAGCGUGGGGAGCAAACAGG
Molecule: ribosomal RNA, 253 nt
Filed under: uncultured bacterium
Lineage: Bacteria
Description: partial 16S ribosomal RNA
Rfam family: Bacterial small subunit ribosomal RNA
Source: RNAcentral